RNAcentral lists this unclassified non-coding RNA (205 nucleotides) under uncultured fungus. RNAcentral's name for it is "sequence contains ITS1". Lineage: Eukaryota; Fungi. The record is from RNAcentral.
UUAACUUAUUUAGUUUUCGCUCAGACUGCAAUCUUCAUACAGAGUUCAAUGGUGUCUUCGGUGCGCGCGGACCCGGGGGCAGAAGCCCCCCGGCGGCCGUGAGGCGGGCGCACCGAAGCAACAAGGUACAAUAAACACGGGUGGGAGGUUGGACCCAGAGGGCCCUCACUCAGUAAUGAUCCUUCCGCAGGUUCACCUACGGAAA